UUGUAGUUCAGUGGUAGAACGCCUGACCGUUAAUCAGGAUGUCGUGGGUUCGAUCCCCACCUU
This 63-nucleotide transfer RNA is filed under the name uncultured Agathobacter sp. It matches the Rfam family "tRNA", at positions 7 to 64 of the family's 71-position model. Rfam says of the family: Transfer RNA (tRNA) molecules are approximately 80 nucleotides in length. Their secondary structure includes four short double-helical elements and three loops (D, anti-codon, and T loops). Further hydrogen bonds mediate the characteristic L-shaped molecular structure. tRNAs have two regions of fundamental functional importance: the anti-codon, which is responsible for specific mRNA codon recognition, and the 3' end, to which the tRNAs corresponding amino acid is attached (by aminoacyl-tRNA synthetases). tRNAs cope with the degeneracy of the genetic code in two manners: having more than one tRNA (with a specific anti-codon) for a particular amino acid; and 'wobble' base-pairing, i.e. permitting non-standard base-pairing at the 3rd anti-codon position. Lineage: Bacteria; Bacillati; Bacillota; Clostridia; Lachnospirales; Lachnospiraceae. The record is from RNAcentral.